Molecule: non-coding RNA, 125 nt
Organism: Triticum aestivum (bread wheat)
Lineage: Eukaryota; Viridiplantae; Streptophyta; Magnoliopsida; Poales; Poaceae
Source: Rfam
UGAGUACUCCCUCCGUCCGAAAAUACUUGUCGAUGGAAUGGAUGUAUCUGAACAUAUCUUAAUUUUAGAUACACUCAUUUUUAUUCAUUUCUCCGACAAGUAUUUUGGGACGGAGGGAGUAUAUA